RNAcentral lists this non-coding RNA (27 nucleotides) under Rattus norvegicus (Norway rat). The record is from RNAcentral. Lineage: Eukaryota; Metazoa; Chordata; Mammalia; Rodentia; Muridae.
UGAACAGCAACUGGGAAAAUAAGUUGG